This 254-nucleotide ribosomal RNA is filed under the name uncultured bacterium. RNAcentral's name for it is "partial 16S ribosomal RNA". It matches the Rfam family "Bacterial small subunit ribosomal RNA", at positions 524 to 776 of the family's 1533-position model. The record is from RNAcentral.
CACGUAGGGUGCGAGCGUUGUCCGGAAUUAUUGGGCGUAAAGAGCUCGUAGGCGGUGUGUCGCGUCGGCCGUGAAAACCUGCAGCUUAACUGUGGGCUUGCGGUCGAUACGGGCAUCACUGGAGUUCGGCAGGGGAGACUGGAAUUCCUGGUGUAGCGGUGAAAUGCGCAGAUAUCGGGAGGAACACCAGUGGCGAAGGCGGAGACCUGGGCCGAUACUGACGCUGAGGUGCGAAAGCGUGGGGAGCAAACAGG